GCGAGCACACUGUCCGUACCGAGAUCCGACACAGGUACUCAUGGCGGCGAAAGCCAAGGUCUGUCGGGAUCAACCGACGUUAGGGAAUUCGGCAAGUUAGUCCCGUACGUUCGCAAUAAGGGAUGCCUGCCUCGCGAAGAGGCAGGUCGCAGUGACUCGGGCGCUCCGACUGUCUAGUAACAACAUAGGUGACCGCAAAUCCGCAAGGACUCGUACGGUCACUGAAUCCUGCCCAGUGCAGGUAUCUGAACACCCCGUACAAGGGGACGAAGGACCUGUUAACGGCGGGGGUAACUAUGACCCUCUUAAGGUAGCGUAGUACCUUGCCGCUUCAGUAGCGGCUUGCAUGAAUGGAUCAACGAGAGCGCCACUGUCCCAACGUUGGGCCCGGUGAACUGUACGUUCCAGUGCGGAGUCUGGAGACCCCCAAGGGGAAGCGAAGACCCUAUAGAGCUUUACUGCAGGCUGUCACUGAGACGUGGUCGCCAUUGUGCAGCAUAGGUAGGAGGCGGUACACAGGUACCCGCGCUAGCGGGCCACCGAGCCA
RNAcentral lists this ribosomal RNA (547 nucleotides) under Natrinema longum. RNAcentral describes it as "partial 23S ribosomal RNA". It matches the Rfam family "Archaeal large subunit ribosomal RNA", at positions 1723 to 2265 of the family's 2987-position model. Lineage: Archaea; Methanobacteriati; Methanobacteriota; Halobacteria; Halobacteriales; Natrialbaceae. The record is from RNAcentral.